UAAAGAUCAAGGAGUGAGUAAAGAUCAAGUCUAAGCUGAAUGAAUAGAAGUGAUUGCAUUACAUUUGAGCUUGUAAUUUAUUUAUUUUUUAAUCUUGAGUAGCAUUAUGGUUUCAUUCAGAACCACUAAUGCCAAUCCAUCACAGGGUACCAUGUGUUCACUCAUUCUCAGGCUAAUUCAUACCUAGAGGCAUAGGCAAUCCACCUACCAGCAUAUUUUUGGAAAUGGGAGGAAACUGGGGUUUCCUCCAGGUUCUCAUGUCAACAUGUGGAGAAUAUGUGCAACCCUAUACAGACAGCAUCCCGAGCUCAGGAAUGAACCAGAGACCCUGGGGGUGUGAGGUGGCAACAGUAGACACUAUACCACCACUAUGGUUUUUAUUUGCCAUAUUUGUGUUUAUAAACCGAAGUGCCACUACUACUAUAAGAAGAAAAGGGGGGAGGGAAAAACACAAAAAAAAAAACUAAACCAACACCUGUGGAACACAAAAAGAAAACAAAACCCUGUCAAUUGAUAUAAAUCUAUAUUUAUAUAAAUUAUUUUACACAACAUAUAAAAAAUAUAUUAGAAAAAGAAACAAUUGGUAGCAAUUACUCUGAGGAACAAUUUUGAUUGUUCAGUGUUUAAAAAUACUGAUAAUACUUACAACACACUUAGAAAAGAGCUGCCUAGUCACUGCAAACUUUAAGUGACAUUUAUUCAUUUGGUAAACACUUCCAAAGUGACCUCAUACAAUCUGAGCAAAUCAGAGUUAAGGGCCCUGCAGUGACUCUGACUCUCGUGCUCACUAUUACUGGACGUUAACCGAAGAGAUACUACUGCAGAUCAUUUUUCAUUUAACUCACAAAAUUCUAAAAGCAAGAGAUUUACUGUAUACAAAUAGCCUUUUCAUACACAAUAGCUCCAUCUAGUGCUCACUCUGCAAAAAGUCAUGUGUGCACAUGCAAACACACUCAAAUCUCUGUGUUUGUGCAACAAGACAAGCUUAGAUUUUAUUGCUAUAAUUAAACACAUUGUAAACAACAUGCUUUAGGAAUCUCGGGGGAAUCCAGCAAUCUGAGCAGAAGUGUGUGUGCAUACACUUGUGACAGUUCAGCAUGGCGAACCACACAGGCCUAGUUCAUAAGCUACGUGAAAAUAUUCACGUUUGUAUCGCAACUGUCGAGAAGCCAAGGAUGAUAAAGCGGAGUAAAUGUGUAUCCACUUAAAUAUGAGGAGUGAGAGCGAGAGAAAGAGAACGAGAGAAUGUGUAUUCCAAAAUGGCCACAACUCGCCACAAAUAAAAUAAACUUCUGUUUUCAUAUCAACAAAAGCUGAAUACAGGCUUGUUUCACUCAUUUUACUGUACCACUAAACAACACAAGAGAUGAAAGAGGCUCUUUUGUCCACUUUCCAUGCCUCAAUCAUCUCACUCAUACGUUUACGUCACUGGACCUUUUCACUUACUCACUGUUGCUUCAUUCUUCUGAAGCCACACUGAAGCUCGUAUUCAGCAGAGUAUGCCUGCAUAAUGCUGCUGUAAAGUAGGUGGGUGUGUAAUUAAGACAACUACAACACACAUUUUGUAUUAUACAUGCUUGGCAUAUUUUGUUUUAUACAGUGGUAGCAUGCGGGUUACAUGAACACCACCAAUCAUGCUACAGCUCUCACUCAGUCAUACACAGCAGGUUGUGGAUUCAUGAGUUACAGAGACAUUAGUGCAGACAGGAAGUGGUGAGGUUACACUUGUGUGGUCCACGUUCAUUACUGUGUCUUCUAGCUUAGACAGCAAUUACACAACCAAGGUCCAGUUUAAAAAAAACCAACAGUCCAAACAUCAAACAAAACACUCACAUCAGAUGAGGAGACAGGCACAGCACUGUUAAACUGACACAAAGCUUUAGUAGGGGCAGAGAGGGUGCUGAUGUGCACAUAUCAACUGAAUAACUAUAGACCAAGCACUGGCUGGCACAGAGAAAAAACAAACGAAGAAGAAGAAGAAGAAGAACAACAACAACAACAACAACAACAACAGGCUAAGGCCCUUAUGAUAAAUAUGCACUGAAUGUAGUUCCUGUAUUGAAAAUAAAGUAAAAAAUAAUUCCUCAGGGCUCAUGCAUCAUUUUUGUGAGAGCAAGACAGUUACCCUUUGAAGGCAAACUAAAAACAGACAAAUUUACUAUUAAAAAACAAAAAACAAAAGGCCAAUCCUAAUUGUGACCAUUUCUUUCAUACAGAAGAGCUAUUCUUCAGUAACUGACAUGUAAAGGAAUACAAACUAACAUUGUGCCGUUGAGAGAAGUCAAAAGACCUUCUACAGCUUAUGAUGUUUUAUAAUGAGACAUGCCACAAACUCGUAGCUGCCCCAGAUAAACCACAUGGGUCUCCAAAGGAGCUCUGAACCCCAUUACUGCAUAAUUAAUGAAAUACAGACCCAGAACAAGAGCCAGAUGAGAGAAGCCAAGCCUCGUCUUGUCUCCAGAUAGUCAUGUUGGGUCUUUUUCUACUCCUUAACACGUAUACAGCUGAAGCACGGUAAACAGGAAGAUAUACAAACAUACAACAAAUUAAAGGGAGGAAAAAAAAAAUAAAAAAUGAUGGCUCUGUUGUGCUGUGCAUUUUGCUGCCUUGGUUGGGGUUCAC
This is a long non-coding RNA of Ictalurus punctatus (channel catfish), 2622 nucleotides long. The record is from Ensembl. Lineage: Eukaryota; Metazoa; Chordata; Actinopteri; Siluriformes; Ictaluridae.